This 98-nucleotide transfer RNA is filed under the name candidate division BRC1 bacterium ADurb.BinA364. Its description in RNAcentral is "tRNA-Arg". Lineage: Bacteria; Candidatus Sumerlaeota. The record is from RNAcentral.
CGCCUACGUGGCCAGCGAAGGAACAGGGCUGGCGAUUUACGACAUCGCCAACCGCGCCAUGCCGGAGCAUAUCGGCGAUCUGGCGCUGGGCGGCGCCC